This 314-nucleotide ribosomal RNA is filed under the name uncultured eukaryote. Its description in RNAcentral is "partial 18S ribosomal RNA". It matches the Rfam family "Eukaryotic small subunit ribosomal RNA", at positions 1470 to 1796 of the family's 1831-position model. The record is from RNAcentral.
CCCUUAGAUGUCCGGGGCCGCACGCGCGCUACACUGAAGGAAUCAGCGUGGCUUUCUCCCUGACCCGAAAGGGUUGGGAAACCCGUUGAAUCUCCUUCGUGAUAGGGAUUGGGGCUUGAAAUUGUUCCCCAUGAACGAGGAAUUCCCAGUAAGCGCGAGUCAUAAGCUCGCGUUGAUUACGUCCCUGCCCUUUGUACACACCGCCCGUCGCUACUACCGAUUGAGUGAGCCGAUGAAACUGCCGGAUGUGGACUAUUCAUAGUCUGCAGAAGAUAUUUGAAUCGUAGCGCUUAGAGGAAGGAGAAGUCGUAACA